RNAcentral lists this ribosomal RNA (487 nucleotides) under uncultured bacterium. RNAcentral's name for it is "bacterial SSU rRNA". It matches the Rfam family "Bacterial small subunit ribosomal RNA", at positions 19 to 522 of the family's 1533-position model. The record is from RNAcentral.
AUGGCUCAGGACGAACGCUGGCGGCGUGCUUAACACAUGCAAGUCGAACGGUGAAGCCCUUCGGGGUGGAUCAGUGGCGAACGGGUGAGUAACACGUGAGCAACCUGCCCUUCACUCUGGGAUAACUCCGGGAAACCGGUGCUAAUACCGGAUACGAGCAUCGGCCUCAUGGUCUGGUGCUGGAAAGAUUUUUUGGUGGAGGAUGGGCUCGCGGCCUAUCAGCUUGUUGGUGAGGUAAUGGCUCACCAAGGCGACGACGGGUAGCCGGCCUGAGAGGGCGACCGGCCACACUGGGACUGAGACACGGCCCAGACUCCUACGGGAGGCAGCAGUAGGGAAUUUUCCGCAAUGGGCGAAAGCCUGACGGAGCAACGCCGCGUGAGCGAGGACGGCCUUCGGGUUGUAAAGCUCUUUCGGCCCUGACGAAGCGAGAGUGACGGUAGGGGCAGAAGAAGCACCGGCCAACUACGUGCCAGCAGCCGCGGUA